CCUUGCUGUAGAUUCAAUGUUUAUUCUAAUUUCCGAAAGCUGUGCGGGGAAUUGGGAACUUUUCAGAGGAAGAAGAUUGUUUGGCCUGCAGCUACAAACGUUAGCAGCAAUGGCGAGUUCUAAUUCUGACUCAUUAAACGCAGUGAGCCGCUUGGUGGAGAGCAUUUCCUCUUACGACAGCAACGUUAUGCUUGCAGCUGUGGUUUCUUUACUUCUUGUUAUCCUCUUUGUGUUGCUUCUUCACAUCUACGCCAAGUGGUUCUUAGCACAAGCUCGUCAAAGAAGAAGAAACUCCAUCUCUGUUUCUCAAGUCCUACGCCCCGCUCAUCGUUUUCAUCAUUUCCAUACAUUCACAUUUGAUACUACUACUACUACUACUACUACUGCAACUCUAUAUUCGUCUCCUUCAAAGGGUCUUGAACCUUCCUCGAUUGCUUCGAUUCCGCUGUUUGUUUACACCUCAAAUGAAUCUAAGCAAGGGUUGGAAUGUGUUAUUUGUUUAAGUGGGUUUGAAGAUAAUGAUGUUGGUAGGAGUUUACCCAAGUGUAGCCAUUGUUUUCAUGUUGAAUGUAUUGAUAUGUGGCUGCAUUCUCACUCCAGUUGUCCCAUUUGUAGAGCUCCAGUUGUUGGUGACAAGAAUGCUGCUAUUUCCAGCACUGUUAAUGAAGUAGAGAACGAUGUGAGUAAUAAUUCUAUGGAGAAUGUAGGUGGGGAUUUGUUGGAGAUUGUGGUUGAAGCAGAGUCAAGAUUGGAGAGACUGAGUAAUGUAUCAGAAUCGAACUGUGAGAUAAGUGAUGAUCAGGAUGUUAUGAGAAUGAAUGUUGAGGUAACAUCACCAUCAACAUCUUCUUCUUCUUCUUCUUCAUUGGGGUGCUCUUUGAAAAGAAUGUUGAGUAGAAAUCGAUCUGAAUGCAAAGUGUUUCCUUCAUCCAAAGAUCGUGUCAAUGAAUUAGAUGCAUAGCAUUUUGACAGAGAGAGAGAGACUCAGCUAUCUUUUUGUCAGUGUUUACUGUAACUAGAUCGAUUGUAUAGAUUUCUUUAAACUUGUUAGUAUCAUCUUUCUCAUAGUUCCCAUUGGGCCAGGAUGGCAAGCUAUUGAUGAUACUCGGCUCCACCCCAAUUGGCGACGAUGAUCUUCUGGCGCCACCACCUAGCGCUCGCGCCGGUGAAAAGAUUAUA
This is an RNA transcript of Pistacia vera, 1179 nucleotides long. It is a transcript of the gene named RING-H2 finger protein ATL63, with no coding region annotated. The record is from RefSeq and is a predicted model, not a curated record. The transcript has 3 exons. NCBI's taxonomy places the organism in Eukaryota, Viridiplantae, Streptophyta, Magnoliopsida, Sapindales, Anacardiaceae.